This 255-nucleotide ribosomal RNA is filed under the name uncultured bacterium. RNAcentral describes it as "partial 16S ribosomal RNA". It matches the Rfam family "Bacterial small subunit ribosomal RNA", at positions 524 to 775 of the family's 1533-position model. The record is from RNAcentral.
UACAGAGGGUGCGAGCGUUAAUCGGAAUUACUGGGCGUAAAGCGUGCGUAGACGGCUAUCUAAGUCGGGUGUGAAAGCCCCGGGCUCAACCUGGGAAUUGCAUUCGAGACUGAAUAGCUAGGGUACGGUAGAGGGAAGUGGAAUUUCCGGUGUAGCGGUGAAAUGCGUAGAUAUCGGAAGGAACAUCAGUGGCGAAGGCGGCCCACUGGGCCGGAACUGGACGCUGAGGCGCGGAAGGCGUGGGGGAGCGAACGG